Non-coding RNA from Characodon lateralis, 80 nucleotides. Lineage: Eukaryota; Metazoa; Chordata; Actinopteri; Cyprinodontiformes; Goodeidae. The record is from the annotation of a GenBank genome assembly.
CGCUGGGUGGCUCAGUUGGUAGAGCAGGUUCGCCAUGAGCAGAGGCAGCUGUCCUGGGUUUGAUUCCCAGUCUCUGGCCA